GAGAUAUAUGAAUCCACUAGGAAUAUAGCAGAUGGAGAAUUUGGUAAGUAUCCUAAUUACUUACUUUCCAGUUAAAUCUCCAUACCUUCAAAUGCUGGUGACAAAUAGUCACACUUAGAAUGACUAAUUUGGCUUAACUACUCUAUUCUUAGACUGGACACAGUUGCAGCUCAGAAGCAAAUUACUGAGGUGGAGAAUUACAAAGCUCUUCUUAUCUCAGGAAAUACACAUUGUCUAAUUCUGAAGAGAACAUGUGAAACUCAACAACUGAAACGUUUCUCUGAGUUUUGUGGGCAGAACAGUGUCCUUGGAUGGUUGAAAAUGCUGUGAGAAAUUAAGGCCAAAGAAUAGUUCUUGAGAUUGAGUCCUAUCGUAUAUCUUAUCCAUUGCUUACUCUCACAGAGCUGAACACAAGAACCAGAAGUAUUUAUUCCUGUUCAC
This 441-nucleotide long non-coding RNA is filed under the name Sus scrofa (pig). RNAcentral's name for it is "lncRNA (ENSSSCG00005004836.1)". The record is from RNAcentral. Lineage: Eukaryota; Metazoa; Chordata; Mammalia; Artiodactyla; Suidae.